RNAcentral lists this ribosomal RNA (506 nucleotides) under uncultured bacterium. Its description in RNAcentral is "partial 16S ribosomal RNA". It matches the Rfam family "Bacterial small subunit ribosomal RNA", at positions 30 to 523 of the family's 1533-position model. The record is from RNAcentral.
AUUGAACGCUGGCGGCAGGCCUAACACAUGCAAGUCGAACGGUAACAGGAAACAGCUUGCUGUUUCGCUGACGAGUGGCGGACGGGUGAGUAAUGUCUGGGAAACUGCCUGAUGGAGGGGGAUAACUACUGGAAACGGUAGCUAAUACCGCAUAACGUCGCAAGACCAAAGAGGGGGACCUUCGGGCCUCUUGCCAUCGGAUUUGCCCAGAUGGGAUUAGCUAGUAGGUGGGGUAACGGCUCACCUAGGCGACGAUCCCUAGCUGGUCUGAGGGGAUGACCAGGCACACUGGAACUGAGACACGGUCCAGACUCCUACGGGAGGCAGCAGGGGGGAAUAUUGCACAAUGGGCGCAAGCCUGAUGCAGCCAUGCCGCGUGUAUGAAGAAGGCCUUCGGGUUGUAAAGUACUUUCAGCGGGGAGGAAGGGAGUAAAGUUAAUACCUUUGCUCAUUGACGUUACCCGCAGAAGAAGCACCGGCUAACUCCGUGCCAGCCGCCGCGGUAA